GGUUGUGACCAUAAUGUGGUGGCUUCUCUCCCUUAGGUGGUUUGCCAACUGGGGUUGGUGGCUUGUAUGAGUCUUCAGCAUUCUCAGCAGGAGGGUGACCAGGGUUGUGACCAUAAUGUGGUGGCUUCUCUCCCUUAGGUGGUUUGCCAACUGGGGUUGGUGGCUUGUGUUCUGGGAGUGGCUUCUCCCCCUUGGGAGGUUUUUCCAAUGGGGUUGGUUUGUGUUCAGGAGGUGGCUUCUCCACUGGAGGCUUGUGUUCAGGAGGUGGCUUCUCCACCGGAGGCUUGUGUUCAGGUGGUGGCUUCUCCACCGGAGGCUUAUGCUCUGGUGGUGGCUUCUCGAAUGGGGGAUGCUUAGGAUAAUCAGCAAGUGAGGGGGCGGUGAGAACCACCAGGCCAAGCAACACCACUAGCAAAUAUGUAGGAGACAUCUUUGGGUUUGGGCUCAGAUGGUGCAAAACUAGGAGAAUUGGCUAGCCUUUUAUAGCGGAUCGUACCCAAUAAUGAAAUGACACGUGUCAUUAUGACCCAUGUGUAAUGGGGUCGAUUUGGGUCCUACAGUGUUGAAAACUUCGACAUCCACUUUUGGCCUUUUGCUUUCUCUACAGCCGCCUUGCUUUUUCCCUCUUUCCUUUUGUUUUCCUCCUGCCCCAUUCUAUCAACUAAACACAAUUAUGUAGUUGUUUAAUUCUUAAAUGAGAUAUUAUCCGUCAAUCGUAUUAUAUUUUAUCAAGAGAGAACGGAGUGCAAUGUGGCUGUAAUUUUAUCGUUUAGUUUUAUCUCUUGGACCACUGCAUUUUUGUUAAGAGGUGCAAUAAUACACGUCUUUAUCUGCCAUUCAAUAUUUACAGUAAAGAGAGGGCACAAAACUCUUCACUUCGCACCAUAAUUAUUUUGUUUUCUGGACACCCCGGGGCCCUUUGGUUGGUUUGGGGGUCAGAAAGUGAACAUCAUAGGGGGUUUUUCCCUUAUGUGCAUUUGUAUCUGAUGGCUUUAACUCGCCUUGUUACUACAAAGAAACUGUCACAGAUAGGAACUUAUUCCAGGCUGAGUAUCUCCUCAUAGACCCUAUAAAAGAAGACAAGUCAUAAUGAACAUCUAACCUUUGUUCAAUUUGAUUCAAUGCCCCCAUUGUGUCCAUCUCACAAAUCUGAAUUAUUAUAUCCAUUGAAUACAUAAAUUAAUGAAGAAAAUAUGAAACCCAAGAUACAUCUCUGCACAACCUCAACCCUGGUUGCUAUGUUUCCCUUCUAUUCACAUGAUUUGAUGCUAAUUGCCAAACUUGCAACAAGCCCUGAGUUUGACACCUAGUAUCGAUGGGCGAAUUUAAAGUCUCCUCCAAACAUAUAUUCCACAGCUUGAAGCUCACAGAAGAUGUUACAGGCAGGGAAAAACCUUCAGAGUUCGCUACCAAAGAUAAUUAUUAAGGAGAUAUCACAAAGAGAAUUCCAAGGGGUCUGAAUCAAAGACAAAUUGGUCGUUCGUGGGGGUUCUUACUUUCUUUUGGGUAUAACUCACUGAGGGCACUGUCUUUGUUAUUUGCAUUUCACAUUUAGAGUUCUGUUCUGGAAACAUAUAAAAGGAGCAUCAUUUUGUUCUUGGGUAACCCAUAGUCGUGAGUGGGUCCAUUUGCAUGCUACUUAGUUGAAAAGUUGGACCAUUUGCUCCGACGCCUACCUCCCGGAUUCCAUGCUCGGAUAAAACAAGAAUAAAAAAAAUAUUUAUAAUUUACAAAUGGGGGAAAGAAAAAAAUGUCAACAACAAACCAGGAAAAAAGAGUAGUAAAAUUCAUGUCACAUGCUAGUGAGAGAAGGGGUUGUUACACUCACUCGAAGUUCUUUCCAAAAUAUCGCAUGGUAUUUUAUUUUAUGUGUCAGCGCAGUUGUGAAUGGAACGUGCAAAAGUCCAAAUUGGCGUUUUUCCUUUUCCCGUGUAGGAUGGCGACCUUUAAUAAAUAUUUAAAACAAAAAACGAAAAAAAGGAGGGAAAAGGGAUCAGAAAAGAUAAAACAAUGUGUACAAGAGCUCAAUUAGUUUGCAAAUUACUGUUUGGAUUUUGAUAGUAUUUUAUUUGUCCAUCUAUAUUUGAUGGAAAAGAGAAUUUAAGAUAUUUCUGAAACAAAAGCAUUAGUGUAAAACUAAAUUAAGGUAUAAUUAAGUUAGUUCAAUGCAUUAAUUUAAGAAACUUGAUCUAUCCAAAGUACAAAAUUAGAUGAAAUCCAUUUCAAUGGUUAAAAUGAUCAAAAUCAAACUUUUUCUAAGUAUUUUUUAAAAGCAUCAAUAUUAAAAGACAAUUUUAUAUUUAGUCGGAGUUUGGACAAAACCAAAAAGCACACAAAAUCCAAGCGACCAUCUCUAGCUUGGAUAGUCACUUGAUCCCACCUAGAGAUGUGCAUGAGUAAAAGGAUUUGAAAAUGGAAAUUGACUAAAUAUUUAGUUGAUCAAUUAAAUUUGCAAUGUCAUAUGCAAUCCUAAUAGCUAGUCAUCUAAUCAAUUAGGUAGUCAAUCAAGUGUUUGUAAUGACUAUUUUGUACAAAAAACCACAUGUAUAGUUAAAUAUAAUGCAUUUCAUUUAUAAAUCUUCUAAUUCUUGAAUAACGAUCCUAUCAUCCUUUGAAAAUUUUUAUUACACCUUUUUUACUUUUGUUCUAAAACUUACAUAUCACCCUUAAUUGUACCAUGAGAACCUAGCUAUUUUUUUUUUUUUUGUAAUUCAUCAAAGUUAGCUUUUGUAUUCAUUGUUGUAUUAUUUUUAGUAUAACUUAGAAAGCUAGUGUUUUCAAGUGAGUAAAAUUAACUUGUAAAUAUUGUAAAGAUUCAUUGAUAUGUAUCUUAAACUAAGUGUACAAAUUAAAACAUUUGCUAGUAGAUUUUCUCAAAAUUUAGAAUAGAGCUUGAGGCUAUUGAAAUAGGUGGGGUUACACCAAACCACAUCACAUCGUUGUUUGCACCUUUUUUCACUCUCUUUUACUUAGUUUCUCUAUAUUUGUUGUCUAGUAAUAUCCUAUAGGCUUGAUGGGUUAGGGAGCAUCCCUUUGUGAAAAAAUUUCAUUCAAUUCUUAGUUGUAUUACGCAUAUAUAAAAUGCCUCAUUGUUUUAAUGGUAUUCAGUCGUGGCAUCACAGAUAUGGGCAUCUAAAUUUUAAAAGUUUGAAACUUUUGUAAAGCAUGUUGAUAAAAUCCAUGAGAGUUGUGUACUUGGGAAGCAACAUCGAGGUGACUUUAUUUUUUUUUCCUUUUAUAAUGCCACACCUAAGUCCGGUUUCUAAAUGCUAAAGUGAAAGGGUAGGUAUGGACCAUUGAAAUGUGAUCACAACUUUUGGCCUUUUCCUUUCUCUGCAGCCAUGUUGUCUCUUUUUUCUUUUGCAUGAUUUUCUUACCAAAACAGAAUCAUAGACUUGUUUAGUCUCUAAGCUACUAUAUUAUAUCUCGGUGGACUUUUAAGAGUGCAACCGACAUAGAGCACAUGCAAGUGGGCAUAUGGGACAUGAAAUUUCUUCUUACAAAGAUUGCAUGAUUUUUAUAUUAGAGUUGUUCACGUGCAAUGUAUUUAGCUUGUUUUGCAGUUAAAUUAAUUGGAUAAGUAAACAUUGGCAUUUCUAAAUCGACUGUGAAGUGCUUCAUGUACGUGUAAAGUAUUAGAAAUUUCUUUCUUGGCAACUUGUUUUUUCCUUGCCAUCUACUGGUAGGUUUGACUAAAAUUAUAUUCCCUGUCAUGCUAAUUAAUUUUCAUGUGCAUGCUCAAAAGAAGAGUAUGACCUUAGUGCACCAAAAUCACUUUGAUUAAUUUGUGAUAGGUUUUUUUGCAUCAUUUAGAUAAUGUUUAGUUCUAAGAAAAAUUUAUAUAAAAAUGGUUUAUUUAUCUUACAUAUAUAUAUAUAUAUAUAUAUUUUUUUUUUUUUCAUUUUUUUUUCUUCUAUUUUAUUUAUUUAUUUUAUUUUCCUUAUGUUUUCCUCACAUUUUCCGGAACUAAACAUAGUCUUACGAAAUCAACAAUUGCCUUCAACUGAGUAGAUUCUGUUGUUUUAGCAAUGUUAGGCUGCUAACUUGUGGUGGUACGAACCAAAUGACCCAUGUUAAUCUUGGCUUGGUUUGAUUUGGCUCUAUCUCAGAGAGCUAAAGGAUCACGUCAACUCUGGUUUCUACUAUUCAGGUCCAUUCCCAGAUGAACUGGUUCAAAUUUGAGAAAAUGGUAACAGACCUUUAGUGAUGUUGGUUUGGAGCCAGUUGCCAAACCCGCCCUGAGCUUUACCACUAAUGUCAAGGGAGAAAGCCAUUUGAACAAAAACAAUAGCUUCAAGAGACUGAAUCGUGGAUGAAAUCUGAUCCACAUUUCUUCUCAUUUUGGGAAAAAAUGAGAACUUAACUACAAAGAUUCUACUGCCUCAUUCAUAGUGCUUUUCCUGAUCCAAGGUUGGUUCGUUUCCCAAAUUGUGAGGUGCACGUGCCACUCUCACGCUCAGGAGUGUAUCCACGUGGUGGACAUCAGAUGGUGGCUUAAUAUCUGGUGUCGGUGGCUUUACUUUACUAGGAGAGUAGUGUGUCUUCAUCUCAUUCACUGCCGGAGGGUGGCGUAAGCAGUGACGCUAAGGUGGGGCACAGUCAAUAUCAUUUGCAUUUGACCAUUAUAGUUUUCUCCCGGCUUGAAAGUAACCUUAUCGUGAUAAAGGAUUACUAGCACUAGUUCAGAUGACCGUCAUGUUAAUUCGGACCAUGUUUGUGUCACAUUAUCAGCAACCAUGUGUUUAUGGUUCAUGCUAUCUGCAACUAAACUUGAUAUAUAACCAGGUGAACUUCAAUCAAAAUUCUGGAAGUACUCUUGUGAUAGAUGGUGCCUGUCUGCAGAGUCCAUCAAUUGAAAAAUGGAGUGAGUGUAUCUAUAAGAGGGAAGGCUUGGCAAAUGUUCAGUUUUCUGGGAAUUCAACAAGGAUCUAAAAUAGAUUGUUUUCUUUGCCGACUUCAAUGGUUGAAAUUUGAGAAGAUUGUGUCCACAUAUCACAACUAUUACUGGUCCUUCUGUUGCAAUUUAUCCUGUAAGGCUCUAACAUGUCUUCCAAUUCCCACUUCCCUGUUACUCCAGGAAAGCUAUUUCUGUCAUUGUGAAGAAGAAAAGAGAAUGUACAUAUCGAUGCUUUUAAGUGACUGGAGCAUUCAUAUCAGGUGGUCUGCAGCCAUAUAUGCCACUUUGUGAAGGUUGGAACAGUCAAUCACUAGGCUAUAUAUUGGUGUGGCCCAGCCACUUCAAUCAAGGACAAGUCUUCAUACUUAAAGUCAAAUUCUGCCUUUAGUCUCAUUAUAAAUUGCUGUUUAAAUAUUAAGCAAACUUUUGUUUAAUGCGAUUAAGACAGUACUAACUCAAUACUUGUUCUAUUUUUGGAUGCAAAUGCUUGAUGGUUUCAUCAUUGGAUGGGAUAAAGGUGCAUUCAUGAUUAUGAAUACUUGUAGUUAUAUUUUCAUUCUCUUUUUUCUCAAUGAGACUUGUUGGCACAAUGUUGCUGUUCAGAAACCUACCUCUCCAUGGAAAAUAAGUUGCGAUUGAUAGUACUGGAUAUGUUCAAGAAAGCUAAAUAUAGAUAGCACAAAAUAUUAUCGAUAUAAAUAGCAUUAACAGCGUACGUAUGUCUCAAUGCUCAUCAGCUAUAAGCAUGGGACAAACACUUACUAUGAGCAACUUACGUCAAAAUUCCAGAAUAGGACAUAGAAGUGACAGAUCUAUAUAUAUAGAACACUGCAUAUGAGUCACAAGAAAGGAAAUUACGGGUGCAUAGCAGCUCUUAUUUUACAUACUACUACUCAUACUGAUCAAAGUCACUCAGUUGGGAUGGGUGGGAGUAGGAGGUUUGUGGGGUGGCUUGUGCGGAGGAGUUGGCAGCUUCUUUCCAGGACCUGGUUGCUUCUCUGCUGGAGUUGAAGGAGGCUUAAUCUUCCGAGGUGGCUUGUAUGAGUCUUCAGCAUUCUCAGCUGGAGGGUGACCAGGGUUGUGACCAUAAUGUGGUGGCUUCUCUCCCUUAGGUGGUUUGCCAACUGGGGUUGGUGGCUUGUAUGAGUCUUCAGCAUUCUCAGCAGGAGGGUGACCAGGGUUGUGACCAUAAUGUGGUGGCUUCUCUCCCUUAGGUGGUUUGCCAACUGGGGUUGGUGGCUUGUGUUCUGGGAGUGGCUUCUCCCCCUUGGGAGGUUUUUCCAAUGGGGUUGGUUUGUGUUCAGGAGGUGGCUUCUCCACUGGAGGCUUGUGUUCAGGAGGUGGCUUCUCCACCGGUGGCUUGUGUUCAGGAGGUGGCUUCUCCACCGGAGGCUUAUGCUCUGGUGGUGGCUUCUCCACCGGAGGCUUAUGCUCUGGUGGUGGCUUCUUGAAUGGGGGAUGCUGAGGGUAAUCAGCAAGUGAGGGGGCGGUGAGAACCACCAGGCCAAGCAACACCACUAGCAAAUAUGUAGGAGACAUCUUUGGGUUUGGGCUCAGAUGGUGCAAAACUAGGAGAAUUGGCUAGCCUUUUAUAGCGGAUCGUACUCAAUAAUGAAAUGACACGUGUCAUUAUGACCCAUGUGUAAUGGGGUCGAUUUGGGUCCUACAGUGUUGAAAACUUCGACAUCCAGUUUUGGCCUUUUGCUUUCUCUACAGCCGCCUUGCUUUUUCCCUCUUUCCUUUUGUUUUCCUCCUGCCCCAUUCUAUCAACUAAACACAAUUAUGUAGUUGUUUAAUUCUUAAAUGAGAUAUUAUCGGUCAAUCGUAUUAUAUUUUAUCAAGAGAGAACGGAGUGCAAUGCAGCUGUAAUUUUAUCGUUUACUUUUAUCUCUUGGACCACUGCAUUUUUGUUAAGAGGUGCAAUAAUACACGUCUUUAUCUGCCAUUCAAUGUUUACAGUAAAGAGAGGGCACAAAACUCUUCACUGCUCUGCAUGUGUCCCAAAAAUGCGAUUGGACAAAUUAUGAUUUGCAUGCUAAAAAGAGGCAAAUGAGGUUAAUUCGCACCAUAAUUAUUUGGUUUUCUGGACACCAUAAAAAGAUGUUAUACAGGCAGGGAAAAACCUUCAGAGUUAGCUACCAAAGAUAAUUAUCAAGCAGAUAUCACCAAGAGAAUUCCAUAGAGUCUGAAUCAAAGACAGAUUGCUCGCUCGUGGGGGUUCUUACUUUCUUUUGGGUAUAACUCACUGAGGUCACUGUCUUUUUUAUUUGCAUUUCACAGUUAGAGUUCUGCUCUGGAAGGUUUGUUCUGGAAACAUAUAAAAGGAGCAUCAUUUUGUUCUUGGGUAACCCAUAGUCGUGAGUGGGUCCAUUUGCAUGCUACUUAGUUGAAAAGUUGGACAAUUUGCUCCGACGCCUACCUCCUGGAUUCCAUGCUCGGUAAAACAAGAAUAAAAAAAAAUAUAUAAUUUACAAAUGGGGGAAAGAAAAAAUGUCGGAAAAAAUAGUAAAAUUCAUGUCACAUGCUAGUGAGAGAAGGGGUUGUUACACUCACUCGAAGUUCUUUUCAAAAUAUCGAAUGGUAUUUUACUUUAUGUGUCAGCGCAGUUGUGAAUGGAACGUGCAAAAGUCCAAAUUGGCGUUUUUAUUUUUCCCAUGUAGGAUGGUGACCUUUAAUAAAUAUUUAAAACAAAAGACGAAAAAAAAAAGGAGGGAAAAGGGAUCACAAAAGAUAAAAUAAUGUUUACAAAAGCUCAAUUAGUUUGCAAAUUACUGUUUGGAUUUUGAUAGUAUUUUAUUUGUCGUUCUAUAUUUGAUGUAAAAGAGAAUUUAAGAUAUUUCCGAAGCAAAAGCAUUAGUUUGCUCUGUGAUGUCCCACAUCGAAUAGGGGAGAAAGUUUCUGGCGCUAUAUAUGUAGAGGCUCCUCUUAACCAAGUAGAUGCGUUUUAAAACCAUGAGGGCCCCCUUAGGUCCAAAGCGGACAAUAUCUACAUGAUUGGGUGUAAGUCAUUACAAAUGGUAUCAGAGCCGAUCCCCGACCCCGGUGUGGGGGUUUGUUUGGCCCUGUAAGGGGUGUUUGUCUGUUUGACCCCACAAUCCCAUGGGACACAACGAGGACGUUGUGUCUGCAUGGGGGGGCGUUUGUGAUGUCCCACAUCGGAUAGGGGAGAAAGUUCCUAGUGCUAUAUAUGUAGAUGUUUCUCUUAACCAAGUAGAUGCAUUUUAAAAUUGUGAGGGCCUCUUUGGGCCCAAAGCGGACAAUAUCUACAUGGUUGAGUGUAAGUCAUUACAUGCUCCAUGUCAAUUUCAGCAUUUCUCAUAUGUUUCACACAUACACAGAAGAGCAUCGUUUUUUAAAGCAUGCAUUUAUGUUGGAUUAAUUUGGAUUUUGUGGGAACUGGGGCAAGGAUCACAUGGAAGAGAGGUUGACUUUUUUCAGUACUUCAAUGGUUGAAAUAUGUGAAGGCUUGAUUGAUACUAAAGCUUGAAAUUGCGACUCUGUCAUUUGUAAAAAAAUAUGACAGCUUCCAUGCUCUCGUUUGGUUGCAUUGUCCGGUCGAGAGGUGCAAAAAGCAUUCUCUCUCUUCUAAUAGUCUUUUCGUUUAAAUCAAGGGAUUUGCCUUCCCGGUCGAGGUCCAAUAGAGGGUAACGGUCACCUACUAAACAUUAAAUGCUCCAACAACUAGUGAACUGAUCGACCCCAGCUCGACUAGUUGAGGUUACUUUUUGGUUUUCUUGUCUCCCGAGGUUAGAAACCUAUAAAUAGAGAGCUUCACUUCAUUUAUGAGUAAGAGAACACCUAAAUUUAUUUGUUUACCUACUUGUUUUUGCCAUAAAAGCUCUCAUUUCUUUUCUUGGUGUAUUAAAUCUCCAUUUGCAUAUCCUUUAGUGCACCUUUGUGAUUCAUUCUAGCCUUGAGUUGUAUUUAAGCCUUUGUUGAGCUAGGUUGAGAGUUUCAUACUUGUUUAUUGAGUGUUAAAGCCUUCAAGUGAGUUAAAACUUGAAGAGAUUGUGUAAGAGCCCAUUGGAGUCGGAAUCCAAGUGUAAAGGUGAUUAAAAGCUUGGUUGAAGCUUCAAGUUAGUGGAACUCUCACUCGGUUAUGAGCUUGAGAAGAGUGGACAUAGACAAGGCAGUGUCGAACCACUAUAAAAUCUGAGUUUGAUUUCUCUAACCUUAUCUCUUUAUAUUUGCUUCUCUUGUGCUUAAAUUUUUUGUGUUUAAAAAGAAUUUUUAAAAACUCAAUUCACCCCCUUCUUGGGAGUUUUUCUCUUUUAAGAUCAGCUUUUAUUUUCUCAAUUGGUAUCAGAACUAUGCCUCUUGUUUAAGACUUAAUCGUCUAAGAGGAAAUGGCUAAUCCAUCAAGUUCAUCUCACAUUGAAAGUUUUGCAACCAAUAGACUUCUUUUUUUUUUUUUGCGGGAACUGAUUAUCCCUAUUGGAAAACUAAAAUGACUUGGUUUUUACAAUCAAUUGAUUUAGAUGUAUGAGAUGCCAUUGAAGAUGACCUAACUUUUCCUUCAAAACUAGUUGAUGGAGUCAUGGUUCCAAAACCUAAGCAAGAAUGGGAUGAGCGUGAUUGAAGAAAUUUUCAAUUAAAUGCUAAAGUCGUUUAUACUUUGCAAUGCUCUAUGGACAGAAAUGAAUAUAAUAGAAUAUGUCAAUGCAAAUCGGUUAAAGAAAUUUGGAGAUUGCUUGAAAUAACUCAUAAAGGAACAAAUCAAGUUAAAGAGUCAAAAAUCAAUUUACUUGUUCAUAGAUAUGAAUUGUUUUUUAUGAAAGAUAAUGAAACUAUUGUUAAGAUGAUCACUAGGUUCACCAACAUUGUUAAUGGUCUUAAAGCCUUGGGAAAGACCUACAAGGAAUCCGAAAACGUGAUGAAGAUCUUGAGGUCACUUCCAUCAAAGUGGCAUACCAAGGUCACCGCAAUUUAAGAAGCAAAAGACUUGAUCAAGCUACCUUUGGAGGAGUUCAUAGGGUCAUUGAUGACAUAUGAAAUCAAUUUGGCAAAGAAGUAACAAAAAGGUGAAGACAAAAAGAAGAAGAACAUAACUCUCAAAGCUACAACUAAGGAAGAAGAAGUUGAAGAAGAAAAACAAAUUGAAGAAGAUGAAGAUUUAGCCCUCAUCACAAGAAAGUUCAACAAAUUCAUGAGGGGUGAAAGGUUUAGAAGAAGAAGGUUCACUUCUAGAAGAGACUUUUCUAAAAAGGAAUCUUCAUCUAAUGGUGACAAAAAGAGAUGGGAAGAGAAAAGAGACUUGGUGUGUUUCAAGUGCAAGAAACCGGGACACAUUAAAUAUGAUUGUCCUCUCUACAAAAGUGAAGUCAAGAGGAAAAAGAAUAAGGCAAUGAUGGCCACUUAGAGUGAAAGUGAAGAUGAAUCAUCCGAAGAAGAAAAUGAGAAAGAAGUGGCAAACAUGUGUUUCAUGGCAAUAGAUGAACUUGAUGAGGUAAAAUCUAACCUUAGUGAUUAAGAUAUACAUGAUGCAUUUGAAGAAUUGUAUGAGGAUUUUUAAAAACUUAGUUUGAAAAAUAUUUCUCUUAAAAAGAAAGUUCAACAACUUGACAAAGAACUUAGAGAAGUAAAAGAAAAAUUUUCAAAUGUUAAAGUUUCUAAAACUCAUCUUGAAAAAGAAAAUGAGAUUCUAAGAAAGAAAAAUGAAUAGUUGAACUCCUCUCUUUCAAUCUUUUCUUCUAGACAAAAAUCUUUUGAAAUGAUUCUAACUAGCUAAAAAUGUGUUUUUGACAAACAAGGGUUAAGAUUUAAAUCUUCAAAAAAUCAAAAGUAUUUUAAAAACUAUUUUGUAAAGGAAUCCACAAGUGCAAGUCCUUCCACUACUUGCAACUUUUGUGGAAGAGAAUGGCACAUUAGUAGUACGCCCUUUAAGAAAUGGUUCUCAAAAGAAUUUAAAUGCAAAAACUAAAAAAGAUUUGGAUUGAGAAAUCCAAGGUCACUAACCCUCAAGGACCCAAAAAGAUAUAGGUACCUAAAUCAACUUGAGUUUUAUGUUGUAAGGUUCAAAGAAUGAUAAGUGGUUCUUAGAUAAUGGUUGCUCAAGACACAUGACCGGAGAUGAAUCCAAGUUUGCUUUUCUUAAAAAGAAAAAUGGAGGAUAUGUUACCUUUGGAGACAAUGCAAAAGAAAGGAUGAUUGGUCAAGGCAACAUUGGUAAUGGCACAUCCUCUCUCAUUGAAAGUGUUUUAUUAGUAGAUGGUUUCAAACAUAACCUUUUAAGCAUUAGUCAAUUUUGCGACAAAGGUUUUUAAGUGAUUUUUUAAGCAUCUCAUUGCAUCAUCAAGGAUAUUCAAAAUGAUAAAACCAUUUUCAUGGGCCAUAGAUGUGAUAAUGUUUAUGCUAUAAAUAUUUCAAAAUAUGAUGGCCAUGAUAGAUGUUUUUCAAGCAUGCAUGAUCAAAGUUGGUUGUGCCAUAGGAGAUUGAGACAUGCUAACAUAGACCUCAUUUCCCAACUCAACAAAGAUGAACUUGUUAGAGGCCUUCCCAAAAUAAUUUUUUAAAAAGAUAAAGUUUGUGAAGCUUGUCAAGUGGGAAAGUAAAUCAAAAACUCUUUUAAAAACAAAAACUUCAUUUCCACAUCUAGGCCACUUGAGUUGUUGCAUAUGGAUUUAUUUGGUCCCUCUAGGACACCAAGUCUUAGAGGAAAUUCUUAUGCAUAUGCUAUUGUGGACGACUUCUCUAGAUACACAUGAGUCUUGUUUUUUAGUCAAAAGAAUAAAGUUUUUUAUGAGUUUUCAAAGUUUUGCAAUAAGAUUCAAAAUGAAAAAGGUUUUUCAAUUACUUAUAUAAGAAGUGAUCAUGGGAGAGAAUUCGAAAAUAUUGAUUUUGAAGAGUAUUGCAAUGAGCAUGGAAUUGACCACAAUUUUUUGGCUCUUAGAACUCCUCAACAAAAUGGGGUAGUUGAAAGGAAAAAUAGAACUCUUCAAAAAAUGACAAGAACCAUACUAAAUGAAAACAACUUACCAAAAUAUUUUUAGGCCAAAACGGUUAACACUUCUUGUUAUGUUUUAAAUAGAGUAUUAUUGAGGCUCAUACUUAAGAAAACUCCCUAUGAGCUUUGGAAAAACAAAAAACCCAACAUUAGUUAUUCCAAAGUCUUUGGAUGCAAUAUUUUAUAAUAAACACCAAAGACAAUCUUGGAAAAUUUGAUGCAAAAUUGGAUGUUGGAAUUUUCCUUGGUUACUCAACUUCAAGUAAAGCUUUUCGAGUUUUAACAAAAGAACCAUGGUUGUAGAGGAGUCCAUCCAUGUUAUUUUUUAUGAAUCUCCAAGAAAGAGAGAGGAUUGAUGAUGAUUUAGGUUUGAAGACCUCUAUAGGAAGAUUGCAAAUCGAAGAUAGAAGACAACAAGAAGAAAAUGGAGAGAAUCCAAAGAAAGAAGGAUCACCAUUGGCACUACCCCCUCAUCAACAAGCGCAAGGUGAAUCAAGUCAAGAGCUUCCUAAAGAAUGGAAGUUUGUCAUCAAUCACCCACAAGAUCAAAUUAUAGGCAAUCCAUCUAGUGGGGUAAGAACUAGAUCCUCUCUUAGAAAUAUUUGCAAUAAUCUAGCUUUUAUCUCUCAAAUUGAGCCUAAAAAUAUAAAUGAUGUUUUAGAUGAUGAAAAUUGGAUAAUUGCAAUGCAAGAAGAGUUAAAUCCAUUUGAAAGAAGUGGAGUAUGGGAAUUAGUACCAAGACCUUCAAAUCAAAGUGUUAUUGGAACUAGAUGGAUCUUUAGAAAUAAAAUGGAUGAAAAUAGCAUAAUUGUUAGAAAUAAAGCAAGAUUGGUAGCCCAAGGUUUUAAUCAAGAAGAAAUGAUAGAUUAUGAAGAAACCUUUGCCCCCGUAGCUAGGUUGGAAGCCAUUAGGAUGCUACUUGCCUUUGCAUGUUUUAAAGACUUUGUUUUAUAUCAAAUGGAUGUGAAAAGUGCUUUUUUAAAUGGUUUUAUAAAUGAAGAAGUAUAUGUUGAACAACCACCCGGUUUUCAAAGUUUCAACUUUCCUAACCAUGUUUUUAAACUUAAAAAGACACUUUAUGGUUUGAAACAAGCACCUAGAUCAUGGUAUGAAAAAUUGAGUAAAUUUCUUUUGAAAAAAAUGUUUUAAAAUGGGAAAAAUUGACACAACUCUUUUUAUAAAAACCAAAGAAAAUGAUAUGCUCUUAGUUCAAAUAUAUAUUGAUGAUAUCAUUUUUGGUGCUACUAAUGUCUCUCUUUAUGAAGAAUUUUCUAAGUGCAUGCAUAGUGAGUUUGAAAUGAGCAUGAUAGGAGAACUCAACUUCUUCCUUGGACUUCAAAUCAAGCAACUAAAGGAAUGAACCUUCAUCAAUCAAGCAAAGUAUAUAAGAGAUCUUCUCAAAAGGUUCAACAUGGAAGAAGCCAAAACAAUGAAGACUCUAAUGAGCUCAUCCAUUAAGCUUGAUAAGGAUGAGAAAGGUAAAUCCAUUGACUCUAUUAUGUAUAGAGGCAUGAUAGGUUCUUUGCUCUAUUUGACCACUAGUAGACCUUACAUUAUGUAUAGUGUGUGUUUGUGUACUAGAUUUCAAUCUUGUCUUAAAAAAUCUCACUUAAGUGUCGUGAAAAGAAUCCUCAAAUAUUUGAAAGGGACAAUGGACAUAGGCUUAUGGUAUCCUAAGAGUGAUAACUUUGAAUUAAUUGGUUUUUUGGAUGCUGAUUUUGUCAGUUGUAGGGUUGAAAAAUAAAACACUAGUGGCACUUUUCAUUUCUUAAGACACUUACUUGUCUCAUGGCAUAAUAAGAAGCAAAAUUUGGUAGCUUUGUCAACAGCAGAAGCUAAAUACAUAGCAACUGGUUUAUGUUGUGCACAAAUCCUUUGGAUGAAAUAAACACUUAGUGAUUUUGAUUUAUCUUUUGAGCAUAUUCCUAUUAAAUGUGAUAAUAGUAGUGCCAUAAGUAUAUCAAAAAAUCUCGUGCAACACUCUAGGACUAAGCAUAUAGAGAUUAGACAUAAUUUUCUUAGAUAUCAUACACAAAAGGAUGAUAUAACACUUGAAUUUGUAAGCAUAAAAGACCAACUUGCCGAUAUCUUUACAAAACCUCUAAGAACAUUUUGUUGAUAUUAGAGGACAAUUAGGAGUGAUUUCUUUAUGAUCUAAUGUGAUGAAUUCUUGAUGAAUAUACUUUUUGAUUGCAUGAAUUUCAUGUCAUAUAUGCAUCAUAUAGAAAUAUACUUAGAUAAUGGUCAAAUUUCGACCAAAAAUCAAAAUUCCCAUGGCAUUAGGCAUAAAAAUUUUGGAAUUUCAACUGAAAAUGGUAGGAGGAGGAUCACAAAAUGAGAAAGUAUGCAAAAAUUGAAAAAUCAAAACGUUGACCAAGCGGUCAAUCGGACUAGACCGAUCGACUAGUUUGUCGAGAUUUAGGAUUUUUAAGAGACUCCAACGCUUCAAUUUUUGCACCGUUCUCCUCUAUUUCUUCACGGUUUCUCUGAUUUUGUCUUUUAGAGACUAAUUUGAGUGCGUUUUGGAUCAAUUGAAGCAUUUUGGAUUGGAUUUUAGGAAGAUUGAAAGUUAAGGUUUCGGAUUUGGGUCGCCUUCUCUUCCUCUCGCGUGUCACAAUCAGCUUUAGCAUUGUUCUCUUUCCAUUUUCACACACCUAGGGUUUCAGUUGUGAGCAUCUCUCUCUCUUUACCAACCACUACUCCCUUGCUUCUUCCAUAUGGCUCCUAGGCGAGAGUCCGCUACUUCUAGGGCACAAGGCAAGCACCCAACUGAGUCGUCUCAGUCAAAGGCACGUCGAAAAGUGAGAUUUGACAUUGCCUUGUUCAGUUCCAUGGAGGACUACCAACUAUACAAGCAACACUUUGCUUAGAGACGAGUAGUUCCCAAGAGAAAUAUUAAUUUUCCUCAACUUCAGCAUUUCGAAUUUAAGGGUCUAUUUACUAGGAUGGUUGGUUGUCUAUUGUCACAAUUUCGGAGCCGGUUUUCCUGACCUUAGUGCGAGUUUUUUACUCGAGGGCGACUUAUGGCAUGGGUGGCAUGAUCAUUUCUACUGUUGGAGGAGUUGAGAUCUGUCUGGACCCAGAGAGCAUCUGCCAUAUUUUCGAUAUUGCUCUGGUUGGACUCAAAGUAUACAAGUCCAAAAUGUGGCCCAUUGUGCCAGGAUUUGAGCUUAGAGAGGUCAUUCAGAGGAUUUGUGAACUUCCAGACGCCCAGGAGAUGGGCAAACCAUUGCCACACAGUUUGACGGUCAUCAACAGGGUGCUACACCAUAUAUUGUGCUCUAUCUUUCUACCACGAAGUGGACAUUGAGAUGAGGUCUCUUAUUAUGAGGCAUUCCUUAUUGACUCCAUUCUAACGGAGAGACGAAUUCAUCUACUAUGUCAUCAUUCACUAAGCCUCCUCACAGUGACAUACCACCUCAUCAGGCACCUCUUGCUCCUGACCAUGCUCCAUUGAUGGAUUUAUUUACUCAUAUUAGCUCUCUAGGCACUCGCAUGAAGGAGUUUGUUGUAGUUAGUGAUACAUGGUUCUACUCCAUAGAGGAUCGCAUGGAUCAGUAUCAGACUGGCUUCACGUCACAGUUUGAGUAUCUCCAAUAGAGGAUUGAGCAUAUUGAGGAUCACUUGAGCAUGAGAAGAUGAUGGCUUUUCUAUGCUCUGUGUUUCCACCUCCACCUCGUCAACCUUGAUUUCUUAGAGACCCAUUGUUUUCAUUUUGUAAUGUUGCCAAAAGGGGGAGAUAUUUAGGAUCUAGGACUCUAUAGGAGACUUACAUGCAUAUCAUUUUCAUAUCAUUGUUUGGAUCGUACAUAUUGGAUAGUGAUACUUUUUACUUAUAUAUGAUAUGCCUAUAUGUUUCAUGUCUUACAUUGUUUCUUAUUGCAAAUUAUCUCUAACAUGUCUUGAUUAUCUUUUUUUUAACUUCAUAAAUUUUGAUUGUUAACCCAUGAUUGGUUUGAGGGGAAGAUUCUUCUUCUCCUAGAUAACCAAGGUUUGUCAUCAUAAAAAAAUUGGAGAUUGUUAGCCCAAGGGUUCUCCUAAUCAUGUUUUGAUGAUAACAAACCAUGCUUAAGUUACUAAUUGGUUUGAAUUAUAAAGAAUUUCAAGUGUUAAUUUGAAAAUUCAUCAAAGAACCUAAUGGAUGCAAGAUCAAGAUUUUUGGAAGACCUUUAAUCAUAAGAAACAUAUGUAAGAUGAAUGCAUGGGUGCACUUAAGAUUUGCAUAUCAUUUCAUGCAUAUUUGGAAAACACGGUUUAUGCUUUAAAGUUACAUUUCCAUCAAAAUUUGAGAUCCAUCAAAUGAACCUUAGGAAAAAUGUUUUAAAAUUGGCAUAUAAUUUUACCUAAAGACCUUGCCUAAGUGUUAGAAGCAAAAGGACAAAAAAAAUAUAGGUUUUCUGGUCAAAAAUGGUGAACCAGUCAAGGCAUUGUCUAAAUCAGCUCAAUCGGCCAAGGUACCGGUCGAUCGGUUUCCCUUUCCCUGUCGAGAUCUAGUCAAGAGGUACAAAAAUCACAAUCUCUGUCUCUUUCUCUCUUUGUCUAUCUUCCAGUAGUCUUUCCUUCCCGGUCGAGGGAUUUGCCUUCCCGAUUGAGGUCCGAUUGAGAGUAAUAGUCACUUGCCAAAUAUUAAAUGCUCCAACAGUUAGUGAACUGGUCGACCCCCACCUUGCCCAGUUGAGGUUACUUUUUGGUUUUCUUGGCUCCCGAUGUUAGAAACCUAUAAAUAGAGAGUUCCACUUCAUUUAUGAGCAAGAGAACACUUGCAUUUAUUUGUUUACCUACUUGUUCUUGCCUUAAAAGCUCUCAUUUCUUUUCUUGGUGCAUUAAAUCUCCAUUUUGAUAUCCUUUAGUGCACCUUUGUGAUUCAUCUUAGCCUUGAGUUGUAUUUGAGCCCUUUUUUUAGCUAGGUUGAGAGUUUCAUACUUGUUAAUUGAGUGUUAAAGCCUUCAAGUGAGUUGAAACUUGUAGAGAUUAUGUGAGAGUCGAUUGGAGCCGAAAUCCAAGUGUAAAGGUGAUUAGAAGCUUGGUUGAAGCUUCAAGUUAGUGGAAUCCUCACUCAAUUAGGAGCUUGAGGAGAGUGGACGUAGCCAAGGAAGUGUCGAACCACUAUAAAAUUUGAGUUUGAUUUCUCUAACAUUGUCUCUUUAUAUUUGUUUAUCUUGUGCUUAAAUUUAUUGUGUUUAAAAAGAAUUUUUAAAUACCCAAUUCACCCCCCUCUUGGGUGUUUUUCUCUUUUAAAAUUAGCCUUUAUUUUCUCACAAACUAUUGUAGUAUAGUGGUUUUUAGGUGUCAUCCAUUAGGAUGAAUUGUUCUCGGUAAUUAAGGCGUGAAUGAGAGGAGAAUUAAUGAUUGUGAUUAAGUAAAAUUGAUUUGAAAAUUCAUGGUGAAAAAUCAAUUUAACAAUGGUUUCUAAUUGAGAAAAACAAUGAAAUGUGAAAUAAAAUAAAAUUAAUAGGAAAUGAAAUUCUCGAAGUUAGAAUUUUCUAAAAAACAAAUUCCAUGGUGAAUGGAUGUUGAGAUCUAAUUUUCAUCAAGUUAGAUUGAAAACCGAAAUUUUCAUAUAAACUGAUUUUUUAUUUAGUUUUAGGUCUAGAUUUAAUUUCCCUUAAAAUUAGGUUAUUUAAUCCAAGAAAUCAAUUCAAAUCAUAUAUUCAAUUCAUCUUAAAUUAUCUUCCAAUUAUUCACACAAUGCAACUAUUCAAUCUCAUCAAAUCUAGCUUUUAAGAAUUUAAUGAAUCUACCUAGUUUGCAUUGUAAUAGUCAUCCAUGACAAUUUGAAGAGAAAAAUAAUUCAAUUAAUCAAUCACUUGGAUCAAAUUACCUUUGCAAUUAAAGUUCAUUUCUCUAAUUCACCACAGAUUUUGUCUCUAGAUCCUCCUUUCUCAAAGAAAAAUGAGAUUUAGCCACACAUGAUUGGAGAUUUGGUCUCAUAAGGCAUGUUUAGCUAGUGAUAAAAUGAGAGAAAAUAAAGAAAAAUAGAGAAUUCGAUUAAGAAAGAAAAUCUAAAAAAUUCUACAAUUAGAAAUGUCCAAAAAGCUUUUUCAUGAGAAAAUCAAGUUUCUAUUUAUAGGCCAAGGUCAAGUGGACACUUGACAUCAUCUAAGAGGUCUUCCGGAAGCUUCUUCAUCAAGAAAUCUGGAGUUUAAUAAUAAAAUGGUCAUUUCACAAGAGCUCAAACAAUUUCGCAUGAUUAUGUGAAAUAAAAAAUGCAACAACAGCAAUUUACAUCUUCUUGGAGCAUUUCGCAUGACUGUGUGAAAUUUUCACAUGAUCAUGUGGAAUCGACUUGACAACUCUCAUUUAGCCUACAACAUAAUUCCACCUUUUGGUCCAUUUUUCAUAGUCAUGCGAAAUGGAAAUAUUUGAUUUUUAAGUUUUCUUUUGUCAUUUCUUUCAUUUCCUUCUCUUGAUUCCACUUCAACUACCUCCGAAUCCUGGUCCAAACCAAUUGCAUUACUUCUUUCAUUAUGCAUUUGGAUCAUCAUCAACAUUAUUUGUUCUCUUCAAUUUGAUUCAUCUCUUUUGUCACCAAUUUAUCAAAAUCAUACCUUGAAAUGACUCCAAAACUUCAUAAAACUUGUUAGUAACUCUUGCAAGGGCAACAACAUAUUAAUUAAGUGUUUUAGGCAUAGUUACUACUCAAAAGAUGCGAAACUCAUGAUAAUUAUUAUAUAAAAUAUGCUCUUUUUGAGUAGUAAUCAACUUUCUUGCAUAAGCAGACCUUUUAGGGUGGAGUACUAAAGACCAAUAUGCUUGUCCUUGUUGUAAUAAAGAAACUUGCUCUUAUUGAUUGCACCAUGGGAGAAAAUUUUGCUACAUGAGUUAUCAUCAAUUUCUUCCCACCAAUCAUAGAUUUAGACGUGACAAGAGGCCUCUUAAUGGCAAGGAGGAACUGACACUCACACUUAUACAAUUAUCGGGCAUUGAUGUGUUGCAACAAUUAGAAUAACUUACACCAAUUAUGUUGGGGAAGUCACAAAAGGCAAACAUGAAAACUAAAAGGAAAAAAGAAAAAUGUUACAUAUCACCACAACUGGAAAGAAAAAAGUAUUUACUUUCAUUUGCCAUAUUGGAAAGCACUUAUUUUACAUCAUAAUAAUUUAGACAUAAUGCAUAUUGAGAAAAAUGUGUGACAAUAUAAUUGAGACAUUGUUCAGUAUUGACGAAGAAACAAGGACAACCUAAAUAGUCAUCUCGAUUUACAAGCUCUAACUAUUAGAAAUGAGAUUCACCCAAUAGAAAGCAGGACCAAAUUUAUUUUGCUUGCAACAUGCUACUCACUCACCCCAAAUGAGAUUAAGGAAUUUUGCAAGUUUUUGAAAUCAAUAAAGGUCCCCAAUGGCUAUUCUUUCAAUAUCUCUCGUUAUGUGCAACUCAAUGAAAGGAAGAUAUAUGAGCUCAAAUUGUAUGAUUGUCAUGUCCUAAUGCAACAACUUCUCUCACUUGUAGUUCGUGGAGUUCUACAUAAGAAUGUUUGUGGAGUUAUCAUAGAAUUGCGUAAUUUUUUCAAGCAAUUGUGCUCAAAGGUGUUAGAAACAAAUCACUUACACCAACUUGAGAACAAUAUUAUUGUCAUACUAUGUAAAAUGGAGCAAAUAUUUCUUCCAUCAUUCUUUGAUAUUAUGGUGCAUUUACUUGUGCAUCUAGUAAGGCAAAGGUUGCAAGACUUGUGCAAUAUUGUUGGAUGUACCUAAUUGAACGAUAUUGUUAUAAUUUCAUAUGAAUCAUUUAAUUUUAUUUUAUAUUAUGUUCAGUUCAUUAACAUGUACAUUGGUCUACAUAUGGAUGAUGAUAGGUACCUAAGCACUUUAAAGUCAUAUGUGCGUAAUAGAACUUUUCUAGAAGGUUCUAUUGUAGAAAGGUACCUUGCAAAAGAAUGUACAACAUUUUAUUCUAGGUACUUGAAUGAUGUGGAAAUAAAGUAUAAUCACAAUGAUAGAAACUUUGUUGGUUUCAACACUAGAGGAGAUGAAAGGGGUUAUCUUUAAACAUAUUGGACAUGCAUUGGGAAAGCCCAUAUUUCAUUAACUUAGUUCAAAAGAGUGGUCACAAGCACAUUUAUAUGUGUUGACAAAUUGCGAAGAUGUCAUACCAUUCAUUGAGUAAAAAAUUUAUUUGAAUUUUAAUUAAAGCUCUAGUUUAUAUCCUUAAUCAAUGUUUUUUAAAUUCACAAGGAGCACAAGCAAACCAUCAAGGCUAGACCACAUAUACGUGUUUGAGACGUAGAUUUAAUUCAUAACAAGGAAUUUAUCAAGUGGUUUGAAAGACAUGUAAGUAUAUUCCUUAUUAUAAGGGAUUUAUUUCACAUUAUGUUUAUAUUGAAUCCAAACCUAUUAUUGAAUUGUAGGUUGAACAAUUACAUAAUGAAGGUCAUAUAUCUGAACACCUUCUCACAUUAUCAUGUGUUCCAAAUUCAUUAGUUACAUGCUUCAAAUGAUAUAUUGUCAAUGGAUUUAGAUCCCACAUUAAAGAACGUGAUAAAAAAGUUUUUAAAAAAAGACUCAGAAUAAUGGAAUUGUUGUAGUUGCAAAAACGUCAAGCUUUACAAGUGCAUGUGAUAUGAGUCCAAUUAUUAGUGAUGCUCUCUACUAUGGUGUUCUAACUAAAGUUGUUGAGUUACAUUAUCUUGGUGAAAAUAAGGUUGUUUUAUUCGAGUUUGAUUGGUGGGAUGUUACAAAUAUUGGAAAAUUGAUAAAAGAUGAUGAGUACAAUUACACAUUUGUUAACUUUGCAUGAAUUCUAACCACGAACGAACGAUUUGUACUUGCAUCUCCAGCAAAGUAAGUGUUCUAUGUGAAGAAUGCGAAUGAAUCAGAUUGGCAUACUAUCAUGGAGAUGCAACCUCAAGACCUCUAUAAGAUGAACGGGAUAGGAUCCAAUGGUGAUUUUGAACCAUUUCAACAAAGUGAACUACAUGAUCACUAAUAUAUCUCAGAUUUAGUUGAUGAAGAUAUAAUCAAGUGGAACAAAAGUGAUGUUUUAGGACUAAUCAUCCUAAAAAAUAUUGUAGUUUCUUAAAAAAAAAAUGAAAAUGAAGAAGAUAAUUGAACCUUUGUCAUACUUUAAAAAGCAACUAUGCAUUGUUCAUUUUGUAUGUUUUGGUUUUCUUCAUUUAAUUUCCUGAUUUUUGUGAUUCAAUGUCAUAUUAUUGAUCUUGAAAUAUUUUUCUAAUUUUUCAUUCUACGAUGGUUUCAACAAGGAUGACAUCAAGUCAAAAAAGGAAAUGUGGUCCCACACACAAUAUUGCAUUACAGGGAUUAAGGUCAGGGAAGAAGGUAAAAGUUGCAUUUAAUGAGUACAAUCAAUUGGUUAAACAGAAAAAUGGAAAACACUUAUCGAGCUACAUAGGGACACUUGUAUCUAACCAACACAAUGUACCUCUCCAAGCUAGUGAUUGGAAAAAUGUUCCAAAUGAUGCAAAAGAGAAAGUAUGGCCUUUGUUUUGGUAUGUUGUAUUUCUCACUAUAUGAUGUCAUUUCACUGUUAUUCUAUUUUGUGACUAACGUUUGAAUCAUAUGUAAGAAAAAUUUGAAGUAGAUAAAGACUGAAAAGAUUACAUGUUGGGUAUAGCCUCAAAUAAAUAUAGAAGCUAUAAAAAUAUGAUGAAUGCAAAAUACUAUGACCCUUGGCAUAAGGAUGCAUGAGGAGAGGUUAAUACAUAAAUCACCAUUUGUCUCUGAUGUUGAUUGGAAGUGGCUUGUCUCUGAUGCAUAAACCAAAUCCCCCACUGAAUGUUUGAUAUUUGAUAGCAGGAAAAACACACCCGCAGCUAUACACCUCCAUCAUUCAGAUAAUUAUAGUGGGGGAGAUGAUUCAUGGUUGCCCUUAUACCCUUUAUUUGCACCAUCUAUUGAGAUUCUUUAUCAUGGCCAGGUUUUACUGCAGCAAUAAGAUAUGGUGGCAACAAUUUUAUCUAUAGGUGCGGUUCCAGACCGCCUCCAUAGGUGCGGUUCCUGACUGCCUCCAUAGGUGCCUCUUCUUGUAAUGUUUGUUCUGGGAAUUACACUUGAAAGCCUUAUCGUGAUAAGGGAUUACAAACACUAGUUCAGAGGACAGCCAUGUUAAACUUCCACUAUGUUUGUGUCACAUUAUCAGCAGCCUAGUGUUUAUUGGUCAUGCUAUCUGCAACUAAUAUAACCCGGUGAACUUCAAUCUAAAUUCUGAAAGUACUCAUGUGACAGAUGGUGCCUUUCAGCAGAUAUCAUCAAUUUAAAAGUAGUGUGUGUGCCUAUAGGUGGGAAGGCCUUGGCAAAUGUUCAGUAUUCCGGUAAUUCAAGAAGGAUAUAUCUAAAAUAGAUUUUCUUCUUGCCCAUUUCAAUAGUUAAAAUUUGAGAAGAUUGUGUCCACAUCACACAAAUAUUAUUGGUCCUUCUGUUGCAAUUUACCUCUGAACAUGUCUUCCAAUUCCCACGGUCCUGUUACUCCAGGAAAACUAUUUCGGUCAUAUUGAAAAAAAAAAUAUUAAAGAAGGUACACAUGCUUUUAAGUGGACUGGGGCAUUCAUAUCAGGUGGUCUGUAUCCACAUAUGCCACUUCGUGAAAGGUGGAACAGCCUAAUCACUAGGCUAUUUAGUGUGGCCCAGCCACGUUAAUCAAGCACAAGUCUUCAUACUUAAAGUCAAAUGGUGUCUUUAGUCUCAUUACACAUCGCUAUUUGAAGAUUAACUCAUCACUAGUGUAAUGCGAUUAAGACAGUCCUAACUCAAUAUUUGUUCUAGUUUUGGAUGCAAAUGCUUGCUGGUUUCAUCAUUGGAUGGGAUAAAGGUGCAAUCAGGACUAUGAAUACGUGCAGUAAUACUUCAUUCUCUUUUUUCUCAAUGAGACUUCUUGGCACAAUUUUGCUGCUCAGCAACCUACCUUUCCAUGGAAAAUCAGUUGUGACUGAUAGUAAUGGAUAUAUUCUAGAAAGCUAAACAUAGAUAGCAUUCAAUAUUAUCGAUAUAACAUUAACAGCGUAUGUCUCAAUGCUCAUCAGCUACAAGCAAUGGACAAACACUUUGAGUAACUCACAGCAGUCAAAAUUCCUAAACAGGACAGACGUGACAGAUCUAUAUAUAGAACACUGCAUAUGAGUCACAGGAAAAGAUAAUACGGGUACAUAGAAGCUCUUAUUUUACAUAUUACUCAUACUGAUCAAAGUCGCUCAGUUGGGAUGGAUGGGAGAAGGAGGUUUGAGGGGUGGCUUGUGCGGGGAAGUUGGCAGCUUCUUUCCGGGAGCUGGUUGCUUCUUUGCUGGAGUUGAAGGAGGCUUAAUCUUCCGAGGUGGCUUGUAUGAGUCUUCAGCAUUCUCAGCAGGAGGGUGACCAGGGUUGUGACCAUAAUGUGGUGGCUUCUCUCCCUUAGGUGGUUUGCCAACUGGGGUUGGUGGCUUGUUUUCUGGGAGUGGCUUCUCUCCCUUGGGUGGUUUGCCAACUGGGGUUGGUGGCUUGUGUUCUGGGAGUGGCUUCUCCCCCUUGGGAGGUUUUUCGAAUGGGGUGGGUUUGUGUCCUGGUGGUGGCUUCUCUCCCUUGGGAGGUUUACCAAUUGGGGUCGGUGGCUUGUGUUCUGGGAGGGGCUUCUCUCCCUGGGGAGGUUUAGUGGGUGGCUUGUGUUCUGGAGGUGGCUUCUCCACCGGAGGCUUAUGCUCUGGUGGUGGCUUCUCGAAGGGGGGAUGCUCAGGGUAAUCACCAAGUGAGGGGGUGGUGAGAACCACCAUGCCAAGCAACAACACUAGCAAGUAUGUAGUAGACAUCUUUGGGUUUGGACUCAGACAGUGCAAAACUACGAGAAAUCGCUAGCCCUUUAUAGCGGCUCGGACCUAAUACUGACAUAAUAUAAAAUAAAUAUUAUAUUUUAUCAAGAGAGAACAGAGUGUAAUUUUAUCAUUAAUACCGAUCGAGGCCAAAGAAAGAAGACCCAUAAUCCAUUUCCCACAAGCAUACACAAUGCAGCUGUAAUUUUAUCAUUUACUUUUAUCCCUUGGACCACUGCAUUUUUGUUGAGAGACACAAUAACACAUUUUUAUCUGUCAUUCAACAUUUACAGUAAAGAGAGGGCACAAAACGCAAUUAGAUAAAUUAUGUUUUGCCUGCUAAAAAGAGGCAAAUAACUUUAUUUGCAACAUAAUUAUUUUGGUUUCUAGUGACCCCGGGGCCUUUCGGUUGGUUUGGGAUCGGAAAAUGAACAUCAUAGGGGGGGUUGUGCCCUUAUGGGCAUAUAUAUCUGAUAGCUUCAACUGGCCUUGUUCCUAGAAAGAAAUUGCCAAAGAUAUAAACUUAUUCCAGGCUGAAAGUAGAUGAGAGUCAUAAUGAACAUCAACCUUUGUUCAGUUUGAUUCAAUGCCCCCAUAGUGUUCAUUUCACAGAUCUGAAUGAUUAUAUCCGUUGAAUACAUAAAUUAAUGAAGACAAAUAUGAAACCCAAGAUACAUCUCUGCAUAACAACCCCAACCCUGGUUGCUAUGUUUCCCUUCUUCUAUUCACAUGAGGAUACUGGUUAUAAUUGUCAAACUUGCAACAAGCCCUUUGACACCUAACGUCAAUGGACGAAUUAAAAGUCUCCUUCAAACGUCUAUUUCACAGCAUGAAGCUUAUAAAGGAUGCUGACAACCUUCAGAGUUAGCGACAAAAGAUAAUUAUCAAGGAGAGAUAGUUCCAUGAGAAUUCCAAGGAGUCUGAAUCAAAGACAAAUUGCUCACUCAAGGGUUCUUAUUUUCUUUUAGGUACAAAUCUCUUGAGUGUUGUUAAAGAAACACGUCACUGUCAUUUUGAUUUGCAUUUAACAUUUCACUUUUGUUCUGGAAGGUUUGUUCCGGAAACAUAUCAAAUGAGCAUCAUUUUCUUCUUCGGUGACACAUGGUCGCGAGUACGUGGGUCCAUUUUCAUGCCACUUAGUUGAAAAGUUGGAAAGAAAAAACAUGCCAACAAGAAGAUAGUGAGAGAAGGGGCACUUCAAGCCUUUAACAUGAACAAACAGUAAAUAAAAGAUGUUUCUCCACUCAUAAAAGUGUGUUAGAUAGCAAUAUAACGAAUCACAUCCAAAAUCUUUACUAGGCUCAAACAUAAAGAAGACUCAUUUUUAAGAAAAGAUAAAAAUGGCAUUGUCUGAUAGUAUCCAAUACACGAGAUGGCACUUAAUUUGUACAAGAUCUGUCAAUGCUGACGCACAUUUUCUGAUUAAAAAAAAACUGAUCAGUCAAAAGCAAUGAAGAGAAGUGAUGACAAUGAAUGAUGCUUCCAAUAUUUUCACCCCUUAUAGUGUUCUUCAUGAUUCAGAUAUAUAAUUGGAAAUAGAACAACCCUAUGCCAUACAUUCGUCUAAGUAUGGUGUCUAAUUUUUUGUGUCAGCGGUUGCGAAUGGAGCGUGCAAAAGUCCAAAUUGGCGUCUCUCCAUUUCCACAUAGGAAGGUGACCUUUAUUGACAAAUACCCAAUAUUUGUAGACAUUCCUUAAAUAUCAUAACUUCUUGUUGAUUUGAAAAUCAUUUUUCAACUACCAUGUUUUAAUAAAUAUUUUUUAAAAUGUAUUUUUAUCAAAGUCCACCAUGAUGGAUAAUAUUCACCAUGCAAUAAUUAAUAAAGUACAAACUAAGCGAAAUGAAAAGCAUUUUCUUUGCUUUGAGUUGAUUUUGGUUGCAUUGAGUUGAUUUUGGUUUCAUGGUUUUUUCAACUCUUAUUUUGAUUGGAAGAUGUCAAGAAAAGAAAACAUAAAGAAAAAUUAAAAGGGAAAAAAGAAGAAAAAUAAAAAAAAAUAGAUUUAAAAGUUAAUAAAUUAUUUUUUAUAUUUAUUUUAAUUCAUUUCACUUAUUUUUCUUUUACUAUAUAAAAUUUAAAUAAUUUAAAUUUUAUAAUUAAUUUAAUUACAUUUCAUUUUCUUCUAUAUUUAAAUAUUGGAAAAAUAUUUUACUUAAUAUUUUUUUCUUUAAUUUCUUUGGCAUUUUGGGAACCAAACUUAGCCUUUAAAAUAAAAAACAAAAAAAAAAUGAAAAUAAGGAGGGAAAAGUGAGAAAAGAUAAAAACAAUAUGUAAAGGAUUUGAAAAGUAUUAGUUUGUAAUUACUAUUUGGAUUUCAAUAGUAUUUUAUUUGUCUUUCUAUAUUUCAUGUAAGAGAGAAUUUAAGAUAUUCCCCAAGGCAAAGCAUUAGUUACCUGCAAUCAGUGGUGAUAAGGCUCCAAGCCAAUUUUGGGCCCCAUAUCUUAAGACAGUACAAUUUCCAUUUCAACAUUUCUGAUUUCUCAGAUGUUUCACAUACCACAGAAGAACAUUGUUUGUGAAAAUAUGCAUUUAUGUUGGAUUUUGUAUGCUGUGGGGACUGGGGCAAGGAUCAUAUGGAAGAGUGGUUGACUUUUUCUGUACUUUAACGGUUGAAAUAGGAUAAGCACGGGCAUUUGUGAGGCUUAAUUGAUUUUGAAGCCUGAAAUUGCGUUUCUGUCAUUUUGUCAAAAAAAUGGCAGAUUCCAUACUCAUAUGUUUGGCCUGUGGCCAUGUACAGAUGCCAUUUAGUGACCAGUUUGUAACUGUCAAUCGUUGCGUUUUGACUCUGCCUCAACAACAUCUGCCAUUGACGGGUUUUCAUACUUGCAAAUCAAAUAGUCUUUCGUCCCAUCAGGAAUUUCGGUUUAAAUAUUAUUAAGCAUACGUUUGGCUGACAAUCAUUAUCCAGUUCAUGAUUUGGUUUCUUACCCUUAAUCAAUGGUUUCUAAGUGAAUAUAUGUAGAAGGAAAUCCGAAGUGUAGACAGUAGUAUCGAUAACUCUCAAUAUUCUCUAUAUAAUAGAAUAAACAGCGUCAUAGUGAUCGUCGCCUACAAGCAAGGUACAAAUACCAAAACGAGUGACUCACAUAGACAUCUCCCAACAAGAUGUAGUAGUGACUGACACAUGGACACAAUUAACUCGUAGAAAAGGAUAAGACCAUUGCACAGCAGCUCUUAUUUUACAUACUACUUAUGCUAACCAAAGUCAAUUAGUUGGGAUGGGUGGGAGAUGGAGGUUUGUGCGGUGGCUUGUGGGGCGGAGUUGAUGGCUUCUUUCCAGGAGCUUCUGGCUUUUUCAUCGGAGCUGAAGGAGGCUCAAUCUUAUGAGGCGGCUUGUAUGAGUCUUCUUUACUCUCGACAGGAGGGUGGCCAGGGUUGUGAUCAUAAUGUGGUGGCUUCUCUCCCUUAGGUGGCUUGCCAACUGGGGUUGGUGGCUUGUGUUCAGGAAGUGGUUUCUCUCCCAUGGGAGGUUUAGCAAUUGGGGUUGGUGGCUUGUGUUCUGGGAGUGGCUUCUCUCCCUUGGGAGGUUUAGUAGGUGACUUGUGUUCUGGAGGUGGCUUCUCCACCGGAGGCUUGUGCUCCGGUGGUGGCUUCUUGGUUGGAGGGGGCUUGGGGUAAUCAGCAAGAGAUGGGGUGGUGAGAACCACCAGUCCAAGGAACAACACUAGCAAGUAUGUGGGAGACAUUUUUGAGUUUGGGCUGAUCAGAUGAUGCAAAACUAAAGCAUUACGUGACCUUUUAUAGCAUGUAGCUCCCAAUACCCACUAAGUAUUGUGGGGUCCAUUUGUGCCCUACGGGGUUGAAAACUUAGACAAUUGGGCAAGGACCCACCUGACUAUGGAGGACUAGUGAGGUGUGAUCAUAGCUUUAGGAUUUUUCUUCCUCUGCAGCCGUCGUGCCGUUGGCAUGAUUUUCUUAAUCUUAAAUAAAGGCAUAGUUAUAGAGUUGUUUAAUCUCUAAAUGGGAUUUUAUAUAUAUCUUCAGAUAGCCAUUAAUAUAUUUGAUGAAGAAAGAAAGACAAGUGCAUACAACAUGUAUACGACUAGCUUUCAUGGAGUUCAUUUAUGAUCAGUUUUCCUGUACAUGUAAACCAGGAUCAUAUAUAUGUUUCUGUUCCACAACUAUUUUGGAAUCUUGUUUAUCAGUUUUUAUCAUUAUAAUGUCACAUAGGCUGCCAACUUGGGCGCUAAAAGAACCAGUUGGGCUAGUUCGUUUCAGAAUUUCAAUGUGGAUUCAGGAAUUGUUUUGUAAGAUAUGCGAAAUAGUAGAGGGAUGAAUAGUGUUUCAUUAAUAAAAGUGUCCUGUAAAUUAGAAGGUGUCAUAGAAACUAUAAUCAAUAAAUAACUUUUUUUCCCCACGGGUGGUGUUUCUUGUGGGGAUCAGUGACUGGUUUAGGUUCACCCAAAAUGAGUUCAGACUAAAAUUGGUUUGAGUCAAUGCCGUGUCUCUUUUUUCCAGAAAUCAACUAUUUUAUGCAUUGAAUAAAUCAUACAAAGAAAAUAUGAACGCCCGCAAAACCUAAACCCUGGUUGCUAACUUUCUAUGUUUCAGUUCUAUUCACGCAAGAAUAUUAGUUUAAGUUUGGGAAAAAUGGCAACUUACCUAGUGAUUACUUGGUUUUGGUUUGCGACUAUUUACGCAACCAACCAUGAGUUUGACUUUAACGUCAUGGGUUGAAGCCUCCUACAGGAAGGGAGAAAGCUCCACAGCUAGCUCCAAAAGAGAAUUAUCACAUUGAUAGCUCCAGAGAUUCCCAAGGGGACUGAAUCAAAGACAAGUUCCUCACUUUUUCUUCUUUUGAGGCCAAAUAUGAACCAAGGAUCACACAACCUCAUUCAACUUCAUAAGUUUGAUUUCAUGCAGUUGAACACUGGGUGAAGGCCAUGACAAGAAUUGAUUCAAAAAUUCUAUCACUCUUUUAAGUAAUGGAAGAUUAUUAUCUCUGAUUGGCAUCACAACAGCACAUGCUCCUAGAUCUUUCUAGACACUCCAUGCAAUGAAAGCACAAUGGAUCUUGUAACGAUAGAAACUAAGCCAUGCUACAGUACUAGAUGAUGAGGUAAAACUAGUAGACACGGGUGGCAGCCUAUAUGGGAGGGACACAAGUCUAAUUGAUUUGCAUUUCAGCAUUAUAGAUAGGUAUGUUUUGGAAGAUUUGUUCUGGAAAUACCGCACCAAGUAGGAUUCUUUUUCUCUUUAGUGGGUCCACUUGCAUGCCAAUUAACGAGUUGAAAAGUAUGAGCACCUACCUCGUGCUCGUGGAACCGAAGGUCAGUGAAGUGGGGCUCCUUUUGGCCUCGUGUAAACUUGAUUCAGAAGUGAAGUUAAUAGUCUUCCAUUCAGAUGGAUACAUGGGAAUUUUUCUCUUUUAUUUAUUUAUUUAUUUUUUUUUUGUGUGUGUAUGUCAAAGGAUAAUGAAUGAAGCGCGUUAGCUUGUUUUCUGACUGGAACCGCAGAUGUCCAAAUUGGAGUUCCUUCAUUUCUUACUUAGGAUUGUUACAUGUAUAAACAAGGUAUAAGAAAUAUGCCAACGUGUCUUGAGGAGUUAUUGAUUAGAAAUAACAAGUCACCCGACUGUAGAGUUCCAAGAUUUGAAUCUUCAGACCCUAUAGCAGCCUCUGGGGUACGUGGCAUCCUAUAGCAUAUUAAUGAAGGCUUUUUCGAUUUAGACUUCACAAUACCAAUUAAUAUGUAUGCACAAAAUGGAGAUGACCCCAAAAAAAACAGAAUCGCCAUAGUUUAUGAGGUUAAGGUGAUUCUCCACUUAAUAUCUACAUUAGCUAAUUAUGUAAAUCAAAUGAACUUCUAUUUUUCCUUUUUUUUUUUGGUUUAUGUCAAAUAGUAGCCCAUAAUUAACCCAACCAUUAGCCUGUUUGAAUUGAUUUCACAUGCACAAUGUUGUAGUAGUUCAUAUUUUGAAUUUUAUUUUUACAAAGGUAGUUAAGGAAAAUGAAGUAUAAUAAUUAUAAAAGCAGACUAUAUACACUACAAUAAUUGUUAGAAUGGUAUCUCAAAUUCUAAUUUAAAAUAUUAUUUUUUGUAAAAGAAAUAUUAUAUAGAAUAUUUCCUAAUUUUAUAAAUGAUUAUAAUUAGAUCUUUAUAAAAUAAGGAAAGUUGGUAAGAAUAUCUUUAUAAAUAUUUUAGGUCAUGAGAGAAAGAAAUGGGAUAAAAAUGUGAUGAAGAGGUGAAAUAAGAGAGUUGAUUAGGAUAUAGAUGUGAAGAAGAAAGGGAUUCAAUAUAUAUAUAUCUUUCAAUUACCACAUUAAAACCCUGUGAACCUUUUAUAUGGUUUACUUUAUUUUUAUAUUCCUCCUUUAAUAUAUUUACAUUAAUGCUUCCAUUGGCACAACAAUAACGAAUUACAAAUACAAGCAACAAGUCCCAUGUUUUAUUACCAAAAGCAGGUAAAAUCCACCUAAUAUAUUACAAUAUAUUCAUCCAAUAUUUUAGACCAAUUCUUCACCAUAAAUAUCAUAAUGUGGCUUUUGUUCUUUCUUAAAUUUAAAUUGAAUUGUCUUAUAUCAAUUUGUUUGUGAUUUUUUCAUUAACUUCACUUUCAUUUGGUUAUCUUUGGUUUUUGAAAAGUAUUAAGGAAUUAAUUAACAAAAUAAUGUUAAGAAAAAUAAUUUUCUCUCUUUUGAUUUUGAUUUUGUAGUAGAAAAAUAUAAUUAAAAUUAUUUAAAAAGUAUGUAAUUUUAAAUUAUUUAAUAUUUAGAUAAAAAAAAUAAGUCUAAUGAGUUUAAAAUAACAUAUAAAAAUAAUUUAUUUAUUUUAAAUUUAUUUUUUAUUUUCCAUUAUGUUCUCUUUCUCUUUUACUUUUUCAUAUUUUUUCUUACGAAGAAUCAAACACAACCUCAUAUUAUAUGUCAAGUGUUUGUCUAUAUUUGAGCAAUGUUAGAUACGGCCAUGGAUUCAUCAAACUAAACUGAUUUUAAUAGAUACUUCACAAAUUGAUUUAUACACUAAAUCAUUGGAUAGCAAUGAUGCAUUGGAAUUAAACGUAGGAUGAAGCUCGAAGAACACUGUUUGUGUAACAACAUAUUUAUGAAAUUAUGCAAAGGAUGAGCUUCGGGGUAGUAGUACAAGGUCAUUAAUGGAGAGCCGUGUUAAACCUUGAUUGUGAUUGGAUUCCGUUAUCAGCAACAGCAACCUUGUUUGUAACCUUGAAAGUCAUUCUGUCCACAUCGAAACUCCAAUUUGACGUUUGUAAUUACCAUUCCUGGAGUGUUCCUUGAUUGAAAUUUAAAUAAUAAUUGCGGCCCACAAGGAAUAUUUUCGAUUCUGUGGGAAUUUGACAAGGUUUGUUAGAGAAGACUGGUGACAUGUUGACUUCAAUGGUUCAAAUAGGAGACGUAUGUGGAUUUGGGGGGUUUAAUUGAAACUGAGUCCCUAUGGCUUUUUAAUAUUUGCAUUGAGCAGUCUCCAUGUGACUUCCUAAUUCCCACCAACCCUCCUGUCCAUGCUGUGAAACUAAAUUGUAAUUUAUCAGCCUUUGUCAAUGGUUUCUAAAUUAAAGAUAUAGACCAUGCAUGUACUUUAAUAAAAGCAAAUCUAAAGUGUAGAUAGCAGCAAUGGUGACACCCAAUAUUCUCCAUAAAAUAGAAUUAGAAUAAGCAGUGUUACAUUGUUCAUGAUCACCUACAAGCAUACAAGAACUUCCAUGAAUAACUCAUAGCAAUUGCCAACAGGGCGUCGUAGAGACUCAUACAUAGAACACUAUCCACCCAGAGGAAAGGACAAGACCAGUGCGCUGCAGCUCUUAUUUUUCACAUGUAUACCACCACUCGUAAUAACCAAAUUCACUCAGUUGGGAUAGGUGGGAGAUGGUGGUUUGUGGGGUGGCUUGUGGGGAGGAGUUGGAGGAGGCUUUAUUUUCUGAGGCGGCUUGUAUGAGUGUGCAGGAGGAUGCCCGGGAGUGUGACCAUAAUGUGGUGGCUUCUCUCCCGUAGGUGGUUUGCCAAAUGGGCUUGGUGGCUUCUCUCCCUUAGGAGGUUUACCAAUUGGGGUUGGUGGCUUGUGUUCUGGGAGUGGUUUCUCUCCCUUGGUAGGUUUGCCAAUUGGGGUUGGCGGCUUAUGUUCUGGGAGUGGCUUCUCUCCCUUGGGAGGUUUGCUAAUUGGGGUUGGCGGCUUAUGUUCUGGGGGCGGCUUCUCUCCCUUGGGAGGUUUGCCAAUUGGAGUUGGCGGCUUAUGUUCUGGGAGUGGCUUUUCUCCCUUGGGAGGCUUGCCAAUUGGGGUUGGCGGCUUAUGUUCUGGGGGUGGCUUCUCUCCUUUAGGAGGUUUGCCAAUUGGAGUCGGCGGCUUAUGUUCUGGAAGUGGCUUUUUUCCCUUGGGAGGUUUGCCAAUUGGGGUUGGCGGCUUAUGUUCUGGGGGUGGCUUCUCUCCCUUGGGAGGUUUGCCAAUUGGAGUCGGCGGCUUAUGUUCUGGGAGUGGCUUCUCUCCCUUGGGAGGUUUUGUUGGUGGCUUGUGUUCUGGAGAUGGCUUCUCCCCUGGAGGCUUGUGCUCCGGAGGUGGCUUCUGAAAUGGCGGGGGCUUGGGGUAAUGAGCAAGAGAUGGAGUACUGGUGAGAACCACCAUUCCAAGCAACAAUACUAGCAA
Molecule: long non-coding RNA, 32165 nt
Filed under: Vitis vinifera (wine grape)
Lineage: Eukaryota; Viridiplantae; Streptophyta; Magnoliopsida; Vitales; Vitaceae
Description: long non-coding RNA (VVIN_LNC001392)
Source: RNAcentral